Molecule: unclassified non-coding RNA, 238 nt
Filed under: Glomeraceae sp.
Lineage: Eukaryota; Fungi; Glomeromycota; Glomeromycetes; Glomerales; Glomeraceae
Description: partial contains 5.8S ribosomal RNA and internal transcribed spacer 2
Rfam family: 5.8S ribosomal RNA (bases 1-71)
Source: RNAcentral
GUGAAUCAUCGAAUCUUUGAACGCAAAUUGCGCUUCCUGGCAUUCCGGGAAGUAUGCCUGCUUGAGGGUCAGUAUUAACAAAAAUUGGGUUUGGUUCCACAUUGUGACGUUUCCGGAGUUUGGGCUAUCUUCACUCCUUUGGUUAAGGGGCCUAAAAUUGACCUUAUUUUCGCAUUUUUAGACGUACAUAAAUUUUUUUAUGUUUCGUAUAUUCUUAAUGCCAAGUUCUCAUUAGAUG